UUUUGUCAUAAAUAAAAAAUAUGGAUCCAAGAAUUGGUGAGAAUGGGAGAACUAGAGAGCUGAAUACAAGAAAUCCACUUUGGAACCUCUUUCUUGAGUCUGGCUCCACAAGUGCAACCAUGUUUCUCAG
Molecule: long non-coding RNA, 130 nt
Organism: Eurytemora carolleeae
Lineage: Eukaryota; Metazoa; Arthropoda; Copepoda; Calanoida; Temoridae
Exons: 3
Source: RefSeq, a predicted model, not a curated record